This 500-nucleotide ribosomal RNA is filed under the name uncultured bacterium. Its description in RNAcentral is "partial 16S ribosomal RNA". It matches the Rfam family "Bacterial small subunit ribosomal RNA", at positions 30 to 523 of the family's 1533-position model. The record is from RNAcentral.
AUUGAACGCUGGCGGAGUGCUUUACACAUGCAAGUCGAGCGGCAGCACGGACUUCGGUCUGGUGGCGAGUGGCGAACGGGUGAGUAAUGUAUCGGAACGUGCCCAGUCGUGGGGGAUAACGUAGUGAAAAUUACGCUAAUACCGCAUACGAUCUAUGGAUGAAAGCGGGGGAUCGCAAGACCUCGCGCGAUUGGAGCGGCCGAUAUCAGAUUAGGUAGUUGGUGGGGUAAAGGCCCACCAAGCCAACGAUCUGUAGCUGGUCUGAGAGGACGACCAGCCACACUGGAACUGAGACACGGUCCAGACUCCUACGGGAGGCAGCAGUGGGGAAUUUUGGACAAUGGGCGAAAGCCUGAUCCAGCCAUUCCGCGUGCAGGAUGGAGGCCCUCGGGUUGUAAACUGCUUUUGUACAGAACGAAAAGGUUUCUACUAAUACUAGGAGCUCAUGACGGUACUGUAAGAAUAAGCACCGGCUAACUACGUGCCAGCCGCCGCGGUAA